GUAGCUUAGUGGCAGAGUGCUUGCCUUGCAUGCAUGAAGCCCUGGGUUCGAUUCCUCAGC
This 60-nucleotide transfer RNA is filed under the name Dipodomys ordii (Ord's kangaroo rat). It matches the Rfam family "tRNA", at positions 7 to 64 of the family's 71-position model. From Rfam's summary of the family: Transfer RNA (tRNA) molecules are approximately 80 nucleotides in length. Lineage: Eukaryota; Metazoa; Chordata; Mammalia; Rodentia; Heteromyidae. The record is from Rfam by way of RNAcentral.